RNAcentral lists this ribosomal RNA (492 nucleotides) under uncultured bacterium. RNAcentral describes it as "partial 16S ribosomal RNA". It matches the Rfam family "Bacterial small subunit ribosomal RNA", at positions 29 to 507 of the family's 1533-position model. The record is from RNAcentral.
AGUGAACGCUGGCGGCAGGCCUAACACAUGCAAGUCGAACGGACGCACAGUAAGAGCUUGCUCUUACGGUUGGCGAGUGGCGGGCGAGUGAGGAAUACAUCGCAAUCUACUUUUUCGUGGGGGAUUACGUAGAGCAACAUACACUAAUACCGCAUAUUAUCUACGGCUUAAAUCAGAGGUUCUUCGCACUCUUCCCGUCUCAUUUAGCUGGCGCCGCAUUAGCUAGUUGGCUGGGUAACGGCCCACCAAGGCAACGAUGCGUAGCCGACCUGAGAGGAUGAUCGGCCACACUGGAACGGAGACAGGGUCCAGACGCCUACGGGAGGCAGCAGUAGGGAAUCUUCCGCAAUGGGCGAAAGCCUGACGGAGCAACGCCGCGUGAGUGAUGAAGGUCUUCGGAUCGUAAAACUCUGUUAUUAGGGAAGAACAUAUGUGUAAGUAACUGUGCACAUCUUGACGGUACCUAAUCAGAAAGCCACGGCUAACUACGUG